UUGUGCCGAAGGAGCAAUCUAGAGAGAGAGGCUCCUGCUUCUCUCUAACCCCAGCUCUCUCUUCUCACAGCUCCUGCUCCUGCUUUUCUCUUUGGUUUUCCCUCACCCAUGUGGUGACCCUUCAUCCUCUGUGGUGAUUCCUCAUCCUCUGUGUUUUUGUUCUUCCUUUGCUCCUCAAGAUUUUCAAACCGUGAACAAAUCUCCUUCUUCUUGUCUACCUUGUCCUGCCAUGGAAGCUUUCGUACACCUCUGCAACCACCUCUUCAGAUCUCAGGUUUAUUUGCUAAGAUCUAUUUUGGCUUGGUUGUUGUUGUUCUUUUAUGCGAGAUCUUCUCGUAAUCGGUCAACUGGAGAAUGUAUGGCGGCUCUGUCCGUAUCCUCACCUCUGCAGACCACCCUUGGUUACCAAUCCUCGCUUGCGGUUUCCGUCGGAGCUCCGGUGACGAAUCUGCUAUGGCGGCUACAAGUUGGAGAUGAAGAAGAAGCUUUGAUAAGGGUUUGGGUUUUUUGGGCUGCUUGGGCUUUUAAUUUUUAGUUUGGGUUUUAAUUUUAUCCUACUCAUGUCUUAAUUCGUAUGAAUUUCUGACUUUGAGGGGUUUGUUGCCUGUC
Rosa rugosa (rugosa rose) is the source of this 609-nucleotide long non-coding RNA. RefSeq lists it as uncharacterized. Lineage: Eukaryota; Viridiplantae; Streptophyta; Magnoliopsida; Rosales; Rosaceae. The record is from RefSeq and is a predicted model, not a curated record. The transcript is spliced from 2 exons.